This 160-nucleotide non-coding RNA is filed under the name Sebaldella termitidis. RNAcentral's name for it is "GlcN6P sequence". It matches the Rfam family "glmS glucosamine-6-phosphate activated ribozyme aptamer". Rfam says of the family: This entry contains a glucosamine-6-phosphate activated ribozyme that is found in the mRNA for GlmS. GlmS is an enzyme that uses fructose-6-phosphate and glutamine to generate glucosamine-6-phosphate. RNAcentral also lists the same sequence under 1 other name. Lineage: Bacteria; Fusobacteriati; Fusobacteriota; Fusobacteriia; Fusobacteriales; Leptotrichiaceae. The record is from RNAcentral.
AAAAAAAUGAAAGCGCUAGGGCUAAAAUACCAAAUAUUUUAGUUGACGAGGAGAGAGAAUUAUCGAGACUAUCAGCGGGUAUUCUCUGGGUUGUAACAACCUAAAAGAUAAUAACAAACCUUAUAAGUAAUUAUAUGAACAAAAAUAUCUUAGUUACUAA